This 247-nucleotide unclassified non-coding RNA is filed under the name plant metagenome. Its description in RNAcentral is "partial contains small subunit ribosomal RNA and internal transcribed spacer 1". The record is from RNAcentral.
AAUGUCGUAACAAGGGUUUUCCGUAGGUGAACCUGCGGAAGGAUCAUUAAAAUGUGAUUGGGUUUAUACAUUUCAUGUAUCAAUCUGCAUUAACCCAUUCCGAGUACCUUGCCUGUUGCUUCCAUGGGGCCUACCUAGGUCACUCUUGUGAUGUGAAAAUCCCAAGAGAGUUCCCCAUUGGGGAAGGUAAUCAUUAAAUUUCAUGUAUCCAAUGUCUUCUGCUGAACUGUUUAUAACAAUGUUAAAA